ACGGAGGAUCCGAGCGUUAUCCGGAUUUAUUGGGUUUAAAGGGAGCGUAGGCGGAAGCUUAAGUCAGUUGUGAAAGUUUGCGGCUCAACCGUAAAAUUGCAGUUGAUACUGGGUUUCUUGAGUGCAGUAGAGGUAGGCGGAAUUCGUGGUGUAGCGGUGAAAUGCUUAGAUAUCACGAAGAACUCCGAUUGCGAAGGCAGCUUACUGGACUGUAACUGACGCUGAUGCUCGAAAGUGUGGGUAUCAAACAG
RNAcentral lists this ribosomal RNA (251 nucleotides) under uncultured bacterium. RNAcentral describes it as "partial 16S ribosomal RNA". It matches the Rfam family "Bacterial small subunit ribosomal RNA", at positions 525 to 775 of the family's 1533-position model. The record is from RNAcentral.